RNAcentral lists this ribosomal RNA (574 nucleotides) under uncultured bacterium. Its description in RNAcentral is "partial 16S ribosomal RNA". It matches the Rfam family "Bacterial small subunit ribosomal RNA", at positions 355 to 918 of the family's 1533-position model. The record is from RNAcentral.
UGGGGAAUUUUGGACAAUGGGCGCAAGCCUGAUCCAGCCAUGCCGCGUGCGGGAAGAAGGCCUUCGGGUUGUAAACCGCUUUUGUCAGGGAAGAAAUCUUCUGAGUUAAUACCUCGGGAGGAUGACGGUACCUGAAGAAUAAGCACCGGCUAACUACGUGCCAGCAGCCGCGGUAAUACGUAGGGUGCAAGCGUUAAUCGGAAUUACUGGGCGUAAAGCGUGCGCAGGCGGUUUUGUAAGACAGAGGUGAAAUCCCCGGGCUCAACCUGGGAACUGCCUUUGUGACUGCAAGGCUUGAGUGCGGCAGAGGGGGAUGGAAUUCCGCGUGUAGCAGUGAAAUGCGUAGAUAUGCGGAGGAACACCGAUGGCGAAGGCAAUCCCCUGGGCCUGCACUGACGCUCAUGCACGAAAGCGUGGGGAGCAAAACAGGAUUAGAUAGCCCCAUGGUAGUCCACGCCCUAAACGAUGUCAACUGGUUGUUGGGAAGGUUCCUUCUCAGUAACGUAGCUAACGCGUGAAGUUGACCGCCUGGGGAGUACGGCCGCAAGGUUGAAACUCAAAUGAAUUGACGGGG